This is a long non-coding RNA of Sycon ciliatum, 453 nucleotides long. RefSeq lists it as uncharacterized. NCBI's taxonomy places the organism in Eukaryota, Metazoa, Porifera, Calcarea, Leucosolenida, Sycettidae. The transcript is spliced from 4 exons. The record is from RefSeq and is a predicted model, not a curated record.
UGGGUGCACUGUGCAGGUAGCGAUAAUGAUUACCGGUAUGCAGGCUUUCAACGUCAUUGGCGACGGAGCAGUGCUCUGUCACUUCACAAGCCAGGUUGACUGACUUCUCGUCUCGACCAUAACAGGCAAAGUGAUGGGAUGCGUUGCCGAGAUGAGUUGCCGUCCUCCUGCGAAGAGAAUUGCCACCAGCACCGGCUGCAGCAAAGGAAUAAUGUUGAAUUGAAGUUGAAUGCAUUUAGCAGCAAGUUGGCAAGUGACAGAAUCUUAAACAGCUGGUGCAACCCCAUGUAGCCAGUUUAAGGCAGUGAGCAAGUACAGAAGAGGGUUGUCUUACCUUCUCUGAGGCAACAACCACUGUUGAGCUGUACUGAUGAUAUGGCUGCAAUACCAAAUGGUGUACACACCCCUGGACCGCAUACACCUUCAAAUGCAACCUGCACACAAGUAUACACA